Long non-coding RNA from Eurytemora carolleeae, 619 nucleotides. RefSeq lists it as uncharacterized. The record is from RefSeq and is a predicted model, not a curated record. The transcript is spliced from 5 exons. Lineage: Eukaryota; Metazoa; Arthropoda; Copepoda; Calanoida; Temoridae.
UCUGGUUGCUUGAAUGGCUGGUCGGUUGAAUGGCUGGAUGGUUGUAAAGCUGGUUGGUUGAAUGGCUGGUUGGUUGUAAAGCUGGUUGGUUGAAUGGCUGGUUGGUUGUAUAUCUGGUUGGCUGUAUAGUUGGUUGGUUACAUCAAUUGCUGGUUGGUUGUGUGAAUAUUAAUAUUCUUUUAUCUAGGAUUCUGGAAGUUCUAAUCCUGAAGCUGAGCUAAGGGAUAAUGAUCCUUCCAAACCUGCGGAGUUCCACAUAGUUCAGGAUUCUGGAAGUCCUUCUGGAAGUCCUGAUUAUCAACCUGAGCCUGUUGAGGAUUCUGGAAGUUCUGAAUAUGAACCUGAGCCUGUUAAGGCACGCAAAGCGAAGAAGUUGGGCAAGAAGAGAAUUUUGGUCACCCCAGACAGUAAAAAAAUCAAUUCAAUCCUUGCUGGGGAACUUAAUCUAUCCCCAUUUGACCACUUGACAAGAAGAUUAAAAAAUGAGUAUAAAGAGUUGCUAAGAUUGAAGUUUGCCAAAGAUUUCGAGUCAAUCCCCCCAAGGAGACCAAAAAUGGCGGAUGCUAGAAAAGUGCUUGAAAUGACAACACUGAAUUGGGAUUUAGUUCUUUCAAACAAA